UACGGAGGAGGCAAGCGUUAUCCGGAAUUAUUGGGCGUAAAGCGUCCGCAGGUGGCUAUUCAAGUCUGCGGUCAAAGACUAGGGCUUAACCCUAGAAAGGCCGUGGAAACUGAACAGCUAGAGUGCAGUAGGGGUAGAGGGAAUUCCCGGUGUAGCGGUGAAAUGCGUAGAGCUCGGGAAGAACAUCGGUGGCGAAAGCGCUCUGCUGGACUGCAACUGACACUCAGGGACGAAAGCUAGGGGAGCGAAGGGG
RNAcentral lists this ribosomal RNA (253 nucleotides) under uncultured bacterium. Its description in RNAcentral is "partial 16S ribosomal RNA". It matches the Rfam family "Bacterial small subunit ribosomal RNA", at positions 524 to 776 of the family's 1533-position model. The record is from RNAcentral.